This 78-nucleotide transfer RNA is filed under the name Chloroflexota bacterium. RNAcentral's name for it is "tRNA-Asp". It matches the Rfam family "tRNA". From Rfam's summary of the family: Transfer RNA (tRNA) molecules are approximately 80 nucleotides in length. RNAcentral also lists the same sequence under 2 other names. Lineage: Bacteria; Bacillati; Chloroflexota. The record is from RNAcentral.
GGCCCGGUGGUGUAGUUGGUCUAACAUACCACACUGUCAAUGUGGAGAUCGGGGGUUCGAAUCCCCUCCGGGUCGCCA